RNAcentral lists this ribosomal RNA (456 nucleotides) under uncultured bacterium. RNAcentral's name for it is "bacterial SSU rRNA". It matches the Rfam family "Bacterial small subunit ribosomal RNA", at positions 340 to 786 of the family's 1533-position model. The record is from RNAcentral.
UACGAAGGCAGCAGUGGGGAAUAUUGCACAAUGGGCGAAAGCCUGAUGCAGCUAUGCCGCGUGUAUGAAGAAGGCCUUAGGGUUGUAAAGUACUUUCAUCGGGGAGGAAAAAACAAAACUAAUAAUUUUAUUUCUUGACGUUACCCGAAAAAGAAGCACCGGCUAACUCCGUGCCAGCAGCCGCGGUAAUACGGAGGGUGCUAGCGUUAAUCAGAAUUACUGGGCGUAAAGAGCACGUAGGUGGUUUUUUUAAGUCAGAUGUGAAAUCCCCUGGGCUUAACCUAGGAACUGCAUUUUGAAACUGAAAUACUAGAGUAUCGUAGAGGGAGGUAGAAUUCUAGGUGUAGCGGUGAAAUGCGUAGAUAUCUGGAGGAAUACCUGUGGCGAAAGCGGCCUCCUAAACGAAUACUGACACUGAGUGCGAAAGCGUUGGGGAGCAAACAGGGAUUAGAUACC